This 484-nucleotide ribosomal RNA is filed under the name uncultured bacterium. RNAcentral's name for it is "partial 16S ribosomal RNA". It matches the Rfam family "Bacterial small subunit ribosomal RNA", at positions 29 to 507 of the family's 1533-position model. The record is from RNAcentral.
AGUGAACGCUGGCGGCAGGCCUAACACAUGCAAGUCGAGCGGCAGCGCGGGGGCAACCCUGGCGGCGAGCGGCGGACGGGUGAGGAAUUCGUCGGAAUCUGCCUUUUUGUGGGGGAUAACGUAGGGAAACUUACGCUAAUACCGCAUACGCCCUACGGGAGAAAGUGGGGGACCGCAAGGCCUCACGCAGAAAGAUGAGCCGACGACCGAUUAGCUAGUUGGUGGGGUAAAGGCCCACCAAGGCGACGAUCGGUAGCUGGUCUGAGAGGAUGAUCAGCCACACUGGGACUGAGACACGGCCCAGACUCCUACGGGAGGCAGCAGUGGGGAAUAUUGGACAAUGGGCGCAAGCCUGAUCCAGCCAUGCCGCGUGUGUGAAGAAGGCCUUCGGGUUGUAAAGCACUUUUGUCCGGAAAGAAAUCCCUGGAGCUAAUACCUUCGGGGGAUGACGGUACCGGAAGAAUAAGCACCGGCUAACUUCGUG